This 545-nucleotide ribosomal RNA is filed under the name Aphytis nr. anneckei FAFU Yu Si S220. Its description in RNAcentral is "partial large subunit ribosomal RNA". It matches the Rfam family "Eukaryotic large subunit ribosomal RNA", at positions 345 to 670 of the family's 3401-position model. The record is from RNAcentral. Lineage: Eukaryota; Metazoa; Arthropoda; Insecta; Hymenoptera; Aphelinidae.
UUAGUACCGUGGGGGAAAGUUGAAAAGAACUUUGAAGAGAGAGUUCAAGAGUACGUGAAACCGUUCAGGGGUAAACCUGAGAAACCCAAAAGAUCGAAUGGGGAGAUUCAACGUAAACUCGGUCGAUUGCCGUGCGGUGCGCGAUAAUGAUUGUCUCGAUGAUCGUUACGCUAUCGCUGCGGCUUAUCAUUGAUCGAGUGAGCGUGCACUUCUCCCCUAGUAGGACGUCGCGACCCGUUGGGUGUCGGUCUACGGCUCGCAAGGUCGCCUGUAGCUUGGGCGUUUACGCGUUUCUCGCUGCAGACCUGCGAAUGCCCGGCCGACUGCCCGGCGGUAUUGAUCUUGAUCAUGUUGGUAUAUGGCCGCAUUUUUGUGCGUCCUGGCCCGUCGGCAGGCUCGCCUCGCUCGGAUUUACGGACCUAGCGCCGUUGCCGGGUGCUUGGUGUGGCUGUUAGUCGGCGGUGUCCUCGGACUGGCUUUUAUUACCGGUCAGCGACGCUACUGCUUUGGGUACUUUCAGGACCCGUCUUGAAACCCGGACCAAA